ACUGACCCACCAGGGAAGCCCCUGUCCUACUGCAUUUUAUGAGGACCAUUCUGGCACGUGAGUCCAGGAGCAGUGGGGGCUGUGGGAGCCCGAGGCCACAACCUGUGUGAGUGGUGACAGUGGCCUGGACCAGCCUGGCAGCUGUGGAGAUGGGGAGAACACUGAAGUAUAGCGGAGGUGAGUUCCUCGUCCAUGGUCACCUGGCUGGAAGAUGGUAGGGCCAGGCUUCAGGCUUAAUCACUUGCUAUACCACCUUUCACCCUGGCACAGCCAGGCUCGUCUCUGCUUUGGUGAUGAGCAGAGAAACAUAAGUGAACUACCUCUACCCUGUAUCGGGUUCUGUGGAUACAGCUGUGGGAGUGGAAGGGAGACAGGCUGGGAUCUGAGACCUGGGACCCUUUACCAGAGUCCUUGCACCUAGACAAACCUCUCCUCCAGCAACAGAAUAUGAAGAAACUACAAGGGACUGAAAAUAACUGCUCGCAUGCUCAGCUGGGACAACUAUAAGCAGUAAGAUACAAAAAGGCCACAAACCAACUGCCACGUCUGAGCUGCCAAGAGCAAAAGCAGGGGACUGUGCGUGAUCCUCACAUUCUGCAGACCAUCUCCUGCCCAACCCUGUGCCUGCUGUUACCCCAUUUAAGGAACCAGCUGGCACGCCCCCCUAUCCCCCAGGGAGUGGGCAAGGCACCUGUUACUAGUUUUCAUUCCCUCCUGCUGUAGCACGAGUCCCAAUAAAAGCCUUGCCUGAAUUUC
Long non-coding RNA from Capra hircus (goat), 756 nucleotides. RefSeq lists it as uncharacterized. The transcript has 2 exons. The record is from RefSeq and is a predicted model, not a curated record. Lineage: Eukaryota; Metazoa; Chordata; Mammalia; Artiodactyla; Bovidae.